This 72-nucleotide transfer RNA is filed under the name bacterium. RNAcentral's name for it is "tRNA-Asn". It matches the Rfam family "tRNA". Rfam says of the family: Transfer RNA (tRNA) molecules are approximately 80 nucleotides in length. Their secondary structure includes four short double-helical elements and three loops (D, anti-codon, and T loops). The record is from RNAcentral.
UCCCAGAUAGCUCAGCGGUAGAGCAAUUGACUGUUAAUCAAUGGGUCGCAGGUUCGAAUCCUGCUCUGGGAG